UAAGUAUCUUGAUUCAGCUGACCACACGGUAAUCAUCCAUCUGCCCUUUUCAUGCUCCAUCCAUAAUCUAAGAUUUAAGUCAGGCUGUGAUUAACCCUGACACAUGGGCUCUUCUCCAGAAAACCCUUCCAGGCUACCGACUACAAAGCUGUCUCACUUGAUUAAAGACUGGCUACCAGGAUCGGAAUUUGGCCCUGAGCUACCCUAAAAGACAAAAUGAUGAGAGAAGAUUAUCUUGGGGGAAGUUAAAUAGAAACCGGAAACGCCAGUGGUUAUGUCAUGGCUGCUGUCUGAAGAGAGGAAGCAAGAUCAGCUCCUGAGGAAAUGCACUCUUUUCCUCCUGGUCAGCUCUGGAUGAAAUGUAUCAAACCCUACAAGUCAAGACUGAGCAAAAGCAGAUGGGGUCUUCAGAGAUGGGUGUUUUAGGUAUCCCAGGCUAGCCUUGAACUUGAUAUACAGCAGCAGUACUCCUGACCCUCCUGGCAAUGGGAUUCCAGAUGUGAACCACGAUUCCUGAUUUAAGGAGUACUGUGGAUUGAACCCAGGACUUUGUGCAAAGAAACUUUUUCGAGACAGUUUUUCUGUACCUUUGGAGUGUGCCCUGGAACUCACUCAGUAGACCAAGAUGACCUCGAGCUCACCGUGUUCCACCUGCCUCUGCCUCCCAAGUGCUGGGAUUAAAAGCUGUGCACCACCACUGUCCAACUUGUUUUACUUC
Molecule: non-coding RNA, 718 nt
Organism: Myodes glareolus (Bank vole)
Lineage: Eukaryota; Metazoa; Chordata; Mammalia; Rodentia; Cricetidae
Source: RefSeq, a predicted model, not a curated record